Molecule: transfer RNA, 73 nt
Filed under: Alosa alosa (allis shad)
Lineage: Eukaryota; Metazoa; Chordata; Actinopteri; Clupeiformes; Clupeidae
Description: tRNA-OTHER
Source: RNAcentral
GCCUGCAUAGCUCAGCUGGUAGAGCAUGGGGCUCUUCAUCGCAGGGUCGUGGGUUUGAGUCCCCCCUGGAGCA